This 224-nucleotide small RNA is filed under the name Macaca nemestrina (pig-tailed macaque). RNAcentral describes it as "Metazoan signal recognition particle RNA (ENSMNEG00000002904.1)". Lineage: Eukaryota; Metazoa; Chordata; Mammalia; Primates; Cercopithecidae. The record is from RNAcentral.
GCUGGGUGUGGUGGCACGUACCUGUAAUCCCAGCUACUUGGGAGGCUGAGGCAGGAGAAUCGCUUGAACCCGGGAGGUGGAGGUUACAGCGAGUCCUGAUCAUGCCACUGCAGUCCAGUCUGGGCAACAGAGCGAGACUCUGUCAAAAAAAACUACAACACUGCAGUGAGCUAUGAUCAUGCCAUUGCACUCUAGCCUGGGCAACAGAGUGAGACCCUGUCUCU